RNAcentral lists this ribosomal RNA (253 nucleotides) under uncultured bacterium. RNAcentral's name for it is "partial 16S ribosomal RNA". It matches the Rfam family "Bacterial small subunit ribosomal RNA", at positions 524 to 776 of the family's 1533-position model. The record is from RNAcentral.
UACGUAGGGGGCAAGCGUUGUCCGGAAUCAUUGGGCGUAAAGAGCGUGUAGGCGGUCCGGUAAGUCGGCUGUGAAAGUCCAGGGCUCAACCCUGGGAUGCCGGUCGAUACUGCCGGACUAGAGUUCGGAAGAGGCGAGUGGAAUUCCCGGUGUAGCGGUGAAAUGCGCAGAUAUCGGGAGAAACACCUAUGGCGAAGGCAGCUCGCUGGGACGUUACUGACGCUGAGACGCGAAAGCGUGGGGAGCAAACAGG